Molecule: ribosomal RNA, 1355 nt
Filed under: uncultured bacterium
Lineage: Bacteria
Description: bacterial SSU rRNA
Rfam family: Bacterial small subunit ribosomal RNA
Source: RNAcentral
GAUGAACGCUAGCGGCAGGCCUAACACAUGCAAGUCGAGGGGCAGCGAGAUGUAGCAAUACAUUGUCGGCGACCGGCGUAAGGGUGCGUAACACGUGAGUAACUUGCCCGUAACAGGGGGAUAAGCGAUGGAAACGUCGUCUAAUACCCCAUAAUAAUUGUUAUCGCAUGAUGACGAUUUGAAAAUUCCGAUGGUUACGGAUAGACUCGCGUUACAUUAGCUAGUUGGUGAGGUAACGGCUCACCAAGGCGACGAUGUAUAGGGGUUCUGAGAGGAAGAUCCCCCGCACUGGAACUGAGACACGGUCCAGACUCCUACGGGAGGCAGCAGUGAGGAAUAUUGGACAAUGGAGGGAACUCUGAUCCAGCCAUGCCGCGUGAAGGACUAAGGCCCUAUGGGUCGUAAACUUCUUUUGACGCAGAGCAAUAAGAGAUACGAGUAUUUUGAUGAGAGUAUGCGUCGAAUAAGCAUCGGCUAACUCCGUGCCAGCAGCCGCGGUAAUACGGAGGAUGCGAGCGUUAUCCGGGAUUUAUUGGGUUUAAAGGGUGCGUAGGCGGUUGUGCAAGUCAGUGGUGAAAUACGAACGCUCAACGUUCGGGCUGCCAUUGAAACUGUACGGCUAGAGUUCGGAUGCCGUGGGAGGAAUGAGUAGUGUAGCGGUGAAAUGCAUAGAUAUUACUCAGAACACCGAUUGCGAAGGCAUCUCACGAAUGCGAAACUGACGCUGAUGCACGAAAGCGUGGGGAUCAAACAGGAUUAGAUACCCUGGUAGUCCACGCUGUAAACGAUGAUAACUAACUGCCGGCGAUAAACGGUCGGUGGCCAAGCGAAAGCGAUAAGUUAUCCACCUGGGGAGUACGACCGCAAGGUUGAAACUCAAAGGAAUUGACGGGGGCCCGCACAAGCGGAGGAACAUGUGGUUUAAUUCGAUGAUACGCGAGGAACCUUACCCAGGCAUCGAACGGCAUAUGAAUAUUGCAGAGAUGUGAUAGUCUUCGGACAUAUGUCGAGGUGCUGCAUGGUUGUCGUCAGCUCGUGCCGUGAGGUGUCGGCUUAAGUGCCAUAACGAGCGCAACCCUUGUCGUUAGUUACCAUCAAGUAAAGUUGGGGACUCUAACGAGACUGCCACCGCAAGGUGUGAGGAAGGGGGGGAUGACGUCAAAUCAGCACGGCCCUUACGUCUGGGGCGACACACGUGUUACAAUGGUAGGUACAGAGGGCAGCUAUUGAGUGAUCAAGUGCAAAUCUCAAAAACCUAUCUCAGUUCGGACUGGAGUCUGCAACCCGACUCCACGAAGCUGGAUUCGCUAGUAAUCGCGCAUCAGCCAUGGCGCGGUGAAUACGUUCCCGGGCCU